Molecule: ribosomal RNA, 1264 nt
Filed under: metagenome
Description: SSU rRNA
Rfam family: Eukaryotic small subunit ribosomal RNA
Source: RNAcentral
UAAACGGACCAUCGAGUAUCCAUUGGAGGGCAAGUCUGGUGCCAGCAGCUGCGGUAAUACCAGCUCCAAUAGCGUAUAUUAAAGUUGUUGCAGUUAAAAAGCUCGUAGUUGGACUUGUGUGCGCUGUCCGCGGGUGGCCUGCGCCCAAAAGGGCGUUUCGGUUCGGCCCCGGUGGCGCCUUGAAAUCUGCAGCUGGGGGGACGUUGGCCUUAACUGGUCGGCGACCGCACGCCGGCUGCUCGGUUACUGUGAGAAAAUUAGAGUGUUCAAGGCAGGCAUUGGGUGCAAUUGAAUACAUUAGCAUGGAAUAAUAAAAUAUGGCUCCUGCCGUAUUUUGUUGGUUUUGACUGGUGGGAGUAAUGAUUGAUAGGGACGGUUGGGGGUGCUAGUAUUGAGCGGCCAGAGGUGAAAUUCAUGGAUUCGCUCAAGACUAACUUAUGCGAAAGCAUUCACCAAGGACGUCCUCUUUAAUCAAGAACGAAAGUUGGGGGAUCGAAGACGAUCAGAUACCGUCGUAGUCUCAACCAUAAACUAUGUCGACUUGGGAUCGGCGGUAGUUUUUUCAUUAAGACACUGUCGGGACCACGGGAGAAAUCAAAGUGUCUGGACUCUGGGGGAAGUAUGGUCGCAAGGCUGAAACUUGAAGGAAUUGACGGAAGGGCACCACCAGGAGUGGAGCCUGCGGCUUAAUUUGACCCAACACGGGGAAACUUACCAGGUCCAGAGAUGUAGAGGAUUGACAGAUUGAAGCUCUUUCUUGAUCACUUCGGUGGUGGUGCAUGGCCGUUCUUAGUUGGUGGAGUGAUUUGUCUGGUUAAUUCCGUUAGCGAACGAGACCUCAGCCUGCUAGUGUAGUCGGCUGGAUUGCCUUUGGCGAUCCGUGAUUUCGACUUCUUAGAGGGACAAUCGACGCGCAGUCGAUGGAAGUUUGAGGCAAUAACAGGUCUGUGAUGCCCUUAGAUGUUCUGGGCCGCACGCGCGCUACACUGCUGGGCUCAGCGAGUUUUACUUGGCCGAGAGGCCCGGUUAAUCUUGUGAAAUCCCAGCGUGCUUGGGCUCGCCUCCUGCAACUGGAGGCGCCAACGAGGAAUUCCUAGUAGACGCAGGUCAUCAACCUGCAUCGAUUACGUCCCUGCCCUUUGUACACACCGCCCGUCGUUCCAUAAGAGUGAGGCAUCCGGUGAAUUCUCGGGAGAGCCUGGGCGUGGCCAGCAAUGGUCUGCUCGGGUUUGAACUUGCAUAAACUUGGUGCCUAUGAUUAGGG